UGCCCCCUCCGCUCCGACAGGUGUAGGCCUUUCAGGCUCCGGGCUUCCUUGUAAAGGGAUCGAAAGCCUCUGGUCGAUAUGGACUCUCGAGUUGGGGAGACAGUGAAGAUGGAGCCUCAAGCUCAAGACCCCUUGAUUAAGACAAGGCUGAAUCCAUGUCCAGGAGAAAUGCCACCUAGCAUGUUAACGAGCCGGUAAUGUUCGUUGCCCACCGACAGGAAGGCAGGCGUGGGAUGAACCUCGUCUUCCCUGAAGUGGACAGGAUGGAAAUGGGAAUCUGGCUGCUCGGUAGAGCUGCACUUGGUGUACAAUUCGCGACGCAUUUCCUGGCCGACUUCAACCUGGGAGGGAGUGCUACGGACCCAGCGGUUCUUCACUAAGGAAUAGAUGUAGCUGACAGGCGGUGUACGUGGGCCCUUUGAAGACCAUGCGGAGCAAACUGGCUGCCAGAAGACUGACCAUCGCCAGCAAACACACAUAUUUCCAAAGAGAUACAUCAGGAGCAACUCUGGGUUCAUUAUCCUGCCAAGAUUACCUUGACAUGAAGCCUGGAAGAGCUACCAACAUUUCAAUUUGUAGACAUCCUGCUCCAUCCUGCUGAGCCACUGUGAGAAGGUCCACUAAAAAUAUUUCUGCCCAUUUUGGAAGAUGCGUUGUCAGUGCAGGUGUCCAUGUUUAAGAUGGCUAGCUAACAUCAGCAGCUUUUUCCCAGCCAUUGAUUUUGCGUGUCUGUUUCUUAGUGUUAAUGUGUACUAAAAUGUUAUAAUCACUGUAGAAGAUUAUAGUACUGUCAGAUACACAAAAAGUUUAGAAUAAUUGAAAAUGCAGUUAUUAAUUUCCAUCGAAUACAUUUAAGACAAGCUGUCAAGUAAGCACAGUGAAUAUAUGGAAAAAUACUAAUGUAAGUGGGAACAUGGCAUGUCUGAGCCCGCGCUGGAAUGGUAGCGCUGGGCAGGAUGGCUGCUGUGUUUGCUUCGGAUUACUCCUCACCCCCCACCCGACCCUGUGGCUUGUCACGUGUU
Molecule: long non-coding RNA, 1022 nt
Organism: Haplochromis burtoni (Burton's mouthbrooder)
Lineage: Eukaryota; Metazoa; Chordata; Actinopteri; Cichliformes; Cichlidae
Exons: 5
Source: RefSeq, a predicted model, not a curated record